AAUGUUUGUGUUUGUUGUUGGUUUUGGAUUGUGUUGUGGUUGUUCUAGUACCUCAGAACCCAUUUUCUAUGAUGUUGAAAGAGGAUUAGAGGGAGAAUGAUGAAGAUUAGAUGAAAUAAAAAUAGUGUAAGAUGAAAGAUAUGAAAUGAGAUUAUGAUAAUGGGGGUAUUUAAUGUGGUGGAUUUUGAUUGAUUGGGUCUAAAAAUGGUAAAAUGGUGAUUAUAGAUAGAAUGGAAAUUGGGAUAUUGACAAAGGUGUGAGGGAGUGUACGAGGAAGGAGUCGGAACACAGAGAGACGGACGUGGUCUUUAAGCUGCUGAAGCUGAUGCUACUUGUUUAUUUUUUUUAAAGUAAAUAUCUCCGCACACAACUGCAGAUAUUAUUCUUCUUAAAGUAACUGAGAUUCAUUUAAGGGGUUGAUCUCUUCUAACAAAUAUUUCUUUAUACGCACCGACCAGGAAUUGAACCCAGAACCAAAUGGUUAAGAGACCAAAGUAUCUACCACUUAUGUCACACUAUGUUAGUUACUACUCGUUUAUUUUAUUUGAAAAAAAUGGUUUUAGACAUUUUUUAAAUUACAAGAGGAAUAAAUAAAUUGGCUCUUAAUCACGUGAGAUGUGAGAUAGAGGAGGAAUAAUCUAUUUUAUCAUUUUAUGAUUCAAGAUUUUUUUUAGUUGGUAGACAAGGUAACAAAUACAAUUUUAAAUUUAAACUAAUCACGUCUCAGAAUAAAAUUCAGAUAAAGACAUUUAAUUUAUAAAAUUAAUAUGAAUAAUAUUAGAAACACAUUUUUUAACACACACAUUUCUACCCAUUCUAUUUUAUUGUUUGAAUUUUAUAUUGAUCUCAUAAAAAAAAGUAGGUCCCAUAUAAGUUUUAUAGGUGCUAUAUGAGUUUUUUUUGUACAAGGAGCUAUAUGAGUUUUAAUCAAUAAAAGAUUGUUGUUAAGAUUUGUGUUAUAGAAAGUGUGUUGCUAGUAAUCCUCUAUUAAUAUUGAAUUAUGACUAAGAUUUGAUCUGUUAUACACUAUUUUGUUCGGUAUUUAAAUUUUGCAGAUUAAACGGAUGUUUAGAUACUCAUUAAAGAUUUAAUAUCAUGGACUACUCAGAAUAAAAUAUUAAAGAUUUAAUUUGUGUAUGUCAUAUUUAAUAUAAAUUUAUACCCACUUUUGUCAAAAAUAAAUAAUUUAUUUCCACUGUGAAUUAUGGUCAAAUGAUUUAAUGUUUUUGUUAAAACUAAAUAAUUUAUUUCCACUGUGAAUUAUGGUCAAAUGAUUUAUAAUGUUUGACUUAUUUUGGCUGCCUUAUAAAGUUUGAAUUUAAUUUAAUAUUUUUAAAGAUCUCUUAUGAAAAAUUGAAGGCUUCGUUUUUCUAAAAGCAAUUUGUAUAUAUCGUUAAUGUAAAUAUAUUUUAUACAUCUGUUUAAUCAUAUAUUUUAACAUAUAAAUAUUUUCUCAUAUAAUAAUAUGUGGCAUGAUUGCUCAAUAUUAUGAGAUGUAUGUGUAAAAUAGUAAUUAUUUUAGAAUUAAAGAAGGCCUAAGUUGCAUUAUGAGCAUCAAGAUUGGUUCAAGAUAAUUAGAAGCCUAAAGCAGCUAUUUUUUCCGGGUAAUUUUAAAAAAUUUGAAUGCAUUCUGAGUAAUUAAGUGGGUGAAGAGGAAUUCUCAAAAACAAUUACGAUAAAUAUAAAGCUAAAUAUUGCUAAAGCCACGAUUCAACUUUAGUCAUAAGAAUUUGAGCCUUCAAUUUUACCAACUAAACAAAAUACUCCUCAAAAUUUAGAUGCAUAUUUUAUAUUUAUAAUUAAAUGAAACUUUAUUUAAUCCUUUAUAAUUAAAGCUCUUCCUUAAGUUACUUGGCUCUUGGGCCAGCCCUAAUGCGCACUCUUGAGUAUUCAUGCAUAACAUAUGAAAAUAUAGAACUUCCAAGUUCUGGAAUAAUGUUUCGGAAACUAAGACGCAAGUAAUCAAUCAAGUUGGGCAGCUACAAAUUCUUUUUUUUUGGUUUUCACCCUCUAGUUCCUAGGAAAAGGGACCCUAGUAGUCCAGAGUUCGGGGCGAGUUCUUGCAUCAAGUGAUUUCAGUCUCCUCCCAAAUGCAAUUGCGGUGGAUCGAACCGCGGUCCUCCCUAUCAGGUUCAGCGCCAAUCAUCACUGAACCAACUAACAUUUGGUGGGCACUACAAAUUCUACUCAUUGAGUGUAUGUUACUGUAUUUAUUUUAUAAAUAGUUGUUUCGAGAUAUUAGCAAUGUCGAGAUUUCAUUUCAAAUUUCUUUGUGGUGUUUAUAUCAUUCUAUUCCAUUAUCUCUUUUAAAACCUCAAUUUCCUCUUAUAAAAUUUAUUAUUUUGCUUCGUUCUUCCUUAUAGUAACUCUGAUCUGAGUGAAAGCAACGCUUAAAUGAUCGUGUAAACAUUAACCAAUUAAUUAACCACCAAUUUAUUUUUUGAUUUGGGUUAUUUUUAUUUUACCCAAUUUUAAAAUUGACAAUUUAGAGUGUAUUUUCAUACUUUAUUUUUACCUUUAAUCAUAAAUUUUCGAGUUUAACCUAUUGGAGGACAAGGAAUCAAAGGAACAAAACAUUUCGCUUGUGAACGUGGAUUAGAUAUGAAAAUGUCAAAAUAAGGUACGAGGUAAGAGUGAGUUCAAAUUCAUGACUCUAAAACAAGUGUCAUGAAUGAGAAAGUCAUGUUUCUCGCAAUUCAUUUGGGCUCGCUGCAUACAUUUGUAGCCCUUUGAGCCAAGAAGGACAAUAAAUUAGUAACGGUUCCUUGUAAGUGCAUUACUAUUAAAUUGAAAAUUGGGAUUUAGGAAGACUAGUAAUUGCAUUAUUGUUGUUUAACAAGAUGGAUGAUCAAUGGCUAAACGAUUGUCUUGUAACUUUUAGAGAAAGAGAUGUUUUUUGAACAGUCAGUAAUGAUGUAAUUUUAUAUCAUUUUCAACAAAUGGAUGAUAGAUUAUUUUCUUUGUAAGUUGCUACAACUAUUUUUAGUAUAACAUUUUAGUAAAUUAAUAUAAUUUAGUUCUUGAAUCAAAAAUAUCCGUCUACAAAUUUUAACUCAAAUGACAAAAAUGUCAAAAUUAUUAUGGCUGUCAAACGUUGUGAUCGAAGUUCGAACCCCAACUCUUUGUAAUUUUUUAAUGACUAUAGUUAUUUCCACUAUAUACAAAAUAAAAAUAAAACAAAUGAUAUAUCCAAUGUGUGAUCCCACGAGAAAAGGGACAUAACAAAUGUAUACCGGAUUCACCAACUAGUUAUGCUGGCCAGAGACAGCACCUAACGAAACACUUUUAUGGUUUUAGAGUGACGAAAACACCCUUUGAGAUUAGGGAUGGCAAUGGGCGCCCACGGGUGCGGGUUUGAGUGAUACCAAAACCCACACCCGAAAUCAACACCCAAACCCAAACCCAAACCCAAAUCUGUUCGGGUGGCAAAACCACACCCACGCCCACACCCAUUGGGUUCGGGUUUUUUACACCCAAACCCAAACCCACAACACAUUUUAUACUACUUUGCAAAUUUAAGCAAAACAAGGUAAAUUUAAGCAAAAACAAUGGAAUUUAAACAUAUUGUCAAUCACUUAGCAAAAACAUAGGUUUAAAAUUACAAGGGAAUUUAAAAUUACAAAAUAGUC
Molecule: long non-coding RNA, 3629 nt
Filed under: Trifolium pratense (red clover)
Lineage: Eukaryota; Viridiplantae; Streptophyta; Magnoliopsida; Fabales; Fabaceae
Description: long non-coding RNA (TPRA_LNC012555)
Source: RNAcentral